CGAAUGCUGACAUAAGUAACGAUAAAGCGGGUGAAAAGCCCGCUCGCCGGAAGACCAAGGGUUCCUGUCCAACGUUAAUCGGGGCAGGGUGAGUCGACCCCUAAGGCGAGGCCGAAAGGCGUAGUCGAUGGGAAACAGGUUAAUAUUCCUGUACUUGGUGUUACUGCGAAGGGGGGACGGAGAAGGCUAUGUUGGCCGGGCGACGGUUGUCCCGGUUUAAGCGUGUAGGCUGGUUUUCCAGGCAAAUCCGGAAAAUCAAGGCUGAGGCGUGAUGACGAGGCACUACGGUGCUGAAGCAACAAAUGCCCUGCUUCCAGGAAAAGCCUCUAAGCAUCAGGUAACAUCAAAUCGUACCCCAAACCGACACAGGUGGUCAGGUAGAGAAUACCAAGGCGCUUGAGAGAACUCGGGUGAAGGAACUAGGCAAAAUGGUGCCGUAACUUCGGGAGAAGGCACGCUGAUAUGUAGGUGAAGUCCCUCGCGGAUGGAGCUGAAAUCAGUCGAAGAUACCAGCUGGCUGCAACUGUUUAUUAAAAACACAGCACUGUGCAAACACGAAAGUGGACGUAUACGGUGUGACGCCUGCCCGGUGCCGGAAGGUUAAUUGAUGGGGUCAGCGCAAGCGAAGCUCUUGAUCGAAGCCCCGGUAAACGGCGGCCGUAACUAUAACGGUCCUAAGGUAGCGAAAUUCCUUGUCGGGUAAGUUCCGACCUGCACGAAUGGCGUAAUGAUGGCCAGGCUGUCUCCACCCGAGACUCAGUGAAAUUGAACUCGCUGUGAAGAUGCAGUGUACCCGCGGCAAGACGGAAAGACCCCGUGAACCUUUACUAUAGCUUGACACUGAACAUUGAGCCUUGAUGUGUAGGAUAGGUGGGAGGCUUUGAAGUGUGGACGCCAGUCUGCAUGGAGCCGACCUUGAAAUACCACCCUUUAAUGUUUGAUGUUCUAACGUGGACCCGUGAUCCGGGUUGCGGACAGUGUCUGGUGGGUAGUUUGACUGGGGCGGUCUCCUCCUAAAGAGUAACGGAGGAGCACGAAGGUUGGCUAAUCCUGGUCGGACAUCAGGAGGUUAGUGCAAUGGCAUAAGCCAGCUUGACUGCGAGCGUGACGGCGCGAGCAGGUGCGAAAGCAGGUCAUAGUGAUCCGGUGGUUCUGAAUGGAAGGGCCAUCGCUCAACGGAUAAAAGGUACUCCGGGGAUAACAGGCUGAUACCGCCCAAGAGUUCAUAUCGACGGCGGUGUUUGGCACCUCGAUGUCGGCUCAUCACAUCCUGGGGCUGAAGUAGGUCCCAAGGGUAUGGCUGUUCGCCAUUUAAAGUGGUACGCGAGCUGGGUUUAGAACGUCGUGAGACAGUUCGGUCCCUAUCUGCCGUGGGCGCUGGAGAACUGAGGGGGGCUGCUCCUAGUACGAGAGGACCGGAGUGGACGCAUCACUGGUGUUCGGGUUGUCAUGCCAAUGGCACU
This 1463-nucleotide ribosomal RNA is filed under the name Escherichia coli. RNAcentral describes it as "partial 23S ribosomal RNA". It matches the Rfam family "Bacterial large subunit ribosomal RNA", at positions 1291 to 2739 of the family's 2925-position model. The record is from RNAcentral. Lineage: Bacteria; Pseudomonadati; Pseudomonadota; Gammaproteobacteria; Enterobacterales; Enterobacteriaceae.